AUGAACGCUAGCGGCAGGCUUAAUACAUGCAAGUCGUGGGGCAGCAUGAGUAGCAAUACUUGAUGGCGACCGGCAAACGGGUGAGGAACACGUACACAACCUUCCUUCAAGCGGGGAAUAGCCCAGAGAAAUUUGGAUUAAUACCCCAUAAUAUAUUUGAUAAGGCAUCUUAUUAAUAUUAAAAGCUUCGGCACUUGAUGAUGGGUGUGCGGCUGAUUAGAUAGUUGGCGGGGUAACGGCCCACCAAGUCUACGAUCAGUAGCUGAUGUGAGAGCAUGAUCAGCCACACGGGCACUGAGACACGGGCCCGACUCCUACGGGAGGCAGCAGUAAGGAAUAUUGGACAAUGGACGAAAGUCUGAUCCAGCCAUGCCGCGUGAAGGAUUAAGGUCCUCUGGAUUGUAAACUUCUUUUAUAUGGGACGAAAAAGGGCAUUCUUGUUCACUUGACGGUACCAUAUGAAUAAGCACCGGCUAACUCCGUG
This 484-nucleotide ribosomal RNA is filed under the name uncultured bacterium. Its description in RNAcentral is "bacterial SSU rRNA". It matches the Rfam family "Bacterial small subunit ribosomal RNA", at positions 29 to 507 of the family's 1533-position model. The record is from RNAcentral.